Molecule: ribosomal RNA, 253 nt
Filed under: uncultured bacterium
Lineage: Bacteria
Also listed under: 1 other name
Description: partial 16S ribosomal RNA
Rfam family: Bacterial small subunit ribosomal RNA
Source: RNAcentral
UACGUAGGGUGCAGGCGUUAAUCGGAAUUACUGGGCGUAAAGCGUGCGCAGGCGGCUCCUUAAGUCAGAUGUGAAAGCCCCGGGCUUAACCUGGGAACUGCGUUUGAAACUGGGGAGCUGGAGUGUGGAAGAGGGGGGUGGAAUUCCAGGUGUAGCAGUGAAAUGCGUAGAGAUCUGGAGGAACACCGAUGGCGAAGGCAGCCCCCUGGGCUAACACUGACGCUCAUGCACGAAAGCGUGGGGAGCAAACAGG